This 254-nucleotide ribosomal RNA is filed under the name uncultured bacterium. RNAcentral describes it as "partial 16S ribosomal RNA". It matches the Rfam family "Bacterial small subunit ribosomal RNA", at positions 524 to 776 of the family's 1533-position model. The record is from RNAcentral.
UACGUAGGGGGCAAGCGUUGUCCGGAUUUAUUGGGCGUAAAGAGCUCGUAGGUGGUUCGGUAAGUCGGAUGUGAAAUCUCCAGGCUCAACCUGGAGGGGUCAUUCGAUACUGCCGUGACUAGAGGUCGGUAGGGGAGUGUGGAAUUCCUGGUGGAGCGGUGAAAUGCGCAGAUAUCAGGAGGAACACCCGUCGCGAAGGCGGCGCUCUGGGCCGGUACUGACGCUGAGGAGCGAAAGCGUGGGGAGCAAACAGG